This is a long non-coding RNA of Topomyia yanbarensis, 1925 nucleotides long. RefSeq lists it as uncharacterized. Lineage: Eukaryota; Metazoa; Arthropoda; Insecta; Diptera; Culicidae. The transcript is spliced from 3 exons. The record is from RefSeq and is a predicted model, not a curated record.
ACUGUCUCAAUUUUCUUAAUGUUUAUUUACAUACCCUAGCAACCAAAGUCCGUAACAGCUAGGAAAGAAAAUAUUCUGUUUCGUUUGCCGUAAGAAUCAAAUGUGAACUCGGAUAAGCGAAGCUUUUGUUGGACUUUGGCAAAAUUAGCUUCUUUUGAAACAUUUUCGUCUAAACAGUGUCUAAAACGUGAAGUAGUAGUUCCAAAUCUCAGUCAAGAAAAAUGUCUCGCGAUCCUCACAACGUUUUGUUUAUUUUGGAGAGCUAGGCAACAACGCCAGCAAUCCGAAUAGUGGAGCUCCUGGCAAGUGGUCUUAAUGAUGAAACAGUUUUGUUCCGCUUUGGCAAUUAAUCGAAUCAUUAUGUGCUGCCAAAACAACCCGCUAUUUUUUCAACAGUUGCUGCUGCUUUCUAGCCACAGAGAUCAGAAAGAUCUUUUGGAAGAAAAACAUAUACCAGAAAGACGGCGCAUCCGGAUCUUGCCAAGAAGCAAAAUAACACGAAAAUUUCAACACGCGAUUAUCAGUCCAGACGGCGACAUCCUCCGGUAAGGGACGACAUUUCGUCAUCGCCUUUGAAGCAGUAGUUUUUUUUUAUAAAUUUUUCUAAGUACUCAUGCGUCGCGCUACUGUUUUAUGCAAGGAUCGGCCAGUAUGCAGAAGUCGCGCAUGUGUUCCCGCUAUUUCGGUAUUCAAGUACAUUCCGACGCAGGCGCGCACUUUGAAGCCAGGAUCAUUAACGACGCUGUAUGCUGCUGACUCGUUUGUGGCAGAAUCAGAUCACGAGGAAGGGUUUUCUGAACAGCGGAGCUUGUUUAGAUUGGAUGCCGCUGGAAAAUCGAAUAGAUUGCUAGCAAGGCCGCCAUUGUUGAGGAAGAGGAUGCGUCAAACGGUGCUGUAUCGCCCCCCGCUGGGCUACUGACCAACGUGUAAUCGUUCCUGCUGUCCAACAAGACGAUCGGAUUCGCUCGCUCGAAGGCACCAAGCGGAGGAUACCGAACCGCUAUCGGAACCAACGCAAAUUCCGCUGAUCGAUCGUGUCAUUUGUACUUUACCACGAACCGCUAUACUCUGGGUUGAUCGCGGUUCGGGCAAGAUGCUACACCGGAAAUUGUAUCGUACCGAAACCGAAUGAGUCAACGUCCAUCUGUUUCCUGUGUCCGACAGCAGACUCGUAGCAACACACAAGCACUAAUUUUGGAAAAUGAACGCAAAUUAGAGGGCGAGAGCUUUACAAACGAUUCACUUGUUCACAAUAUAAAAGCAACAGAGGUACGAAUCCUCCUGCACCCCGGUAAAAGUCAAGAGGGAGGUGACCCAACCUUUGCGGGUUGAACUCAUCAUAAAGGAAACGUUUCCAAUAUCAAUCGUCCCAUGUGAACCGAAUCCGCUCGAGUUGCCGAUACAGAUCAAGGCAGGGUUUUCUGAACGGCGACAGUUGUCCAAAUUGGAUUCUGCUGAAGCAAAAUCAAAGAUUUUGCCAACACGGCCGCAAUUGUUCAAACGGUGCGGGUAAGCUAGAUGACGAAUAAAUGCAAAACCCUACUGGGCUACCGAUCAACGAGUAAUUAUUCCUGCUGUCUGAAGAGUCGACUGGGCUCGCUCGAUCAAGUAUACCAAACAGAGGAUACUGAGUCGCUAUCGGAAGCGACACCAAUACCGCUAUUCUAUCGAUUCGUGUCGUUUUAUCACGAACCGCUAUAUCCCGCGCUGAUUGUGGUCUGGAACGAAAUGCUACACCUGAUUGCAAGAGAAUUCUAAUCGUACUGAAACGGAAUGAGUCAACGCCCAUCUGCUUCCAGUGUGCGGAAAUAAGAUUUCAGGUCGCCGGAUACCACACGGCCACAGCUCCUUGUAACAGGUGGAAUCCGCAACGUAUCAAUGAUUAUUAGAAUAAAUCUUAGAUGUAGAUAAUGAAAUUCUUUUAA